RNAcentral lists this ribosomal RNA (533 nucleotides) under Pseudomonas sp. So6. RNAcentral describes it as "bacterial SSU rRNA". It matches the Rfam family "Bacterial small subunit ribosomal RNA", at positions 71 to 600 of the family's 1533-position model. Lineage: Bacteria; Pseudomonadati; Pseudomonadota; Gammaproteobacteria; Pseudomonadales; Pseudomonadaceae. RNAcentral also lists the same sequence under 1 other name. The record is from RNAcentral.
GAGAAGAGCUUGCUCUUCGAUUCAGCGGCGGACGGGUGAGUAAUGCCUAGGAAUCUGCCUGGUAGUGGGGGACAACGUUUCGAAAGGAACGCUAAUACCGCAUACGUCCUACGGGAGAAAGCAGGGGACCUUCGGGCCUUGCGCUAUCAGAUGAGCCUAGGUCGGAUUAGCUAGUUGGUGAGGUAAUGGCUCACCAAGGCGACGAUCCGUAACUGGUCUGAGAGGAUGAUCAGUCACACUGGAACUGAGACACGGUCCAGACUCCUACGGGAGGCAGCAGUGGGGAAUAUUGGACAAUGGGCGAAAGCCUGAUCCAGCCAUGCCGCGUGUGUGAAGAAGGUCUUCGGAUUGUAAAGCACUUUAAGUUGGGAGGAAGGGCAUUAACCUAAUACGUUAGUGUUUUGACGUUACCGACAGAAUAAGCACCGGCUAACUCUGUGCCAGCAGCCGCGGUAAUACAGAGGGUGCAAGCGUUAAUCGGAAUUACUGGGCGUAAAGCGCGCGUAGGUGGUUUGUUAAGUUGAAUGUGAAAG